Molecule: long non-coding RNA, 936 nt
Filed under: Mytilus galloprovincialis (Mediterranean mussel)
Lineage: Eukaryota; Metazoa; Mollusca; Bivalvia; Mytilida; Mytilidae
Source: RNAcentral
CACAUCUUAUAGUAAUGUGAAUUCACACUCAAAAAUAAGAGAAAACAAACGACACAACGGAAACACAACGUUAAAAUGUAACAAACUAUAAUAUAAUAAUGGCCAUAUUCCUGACUUGGUACAGGACAUUUUUAAAGGGAAAAAUAGUGGGUUGAACCUGGUUUUGUGGCAUGCCAAACCUCCCUCUUUUAUGGCCAUGUGAAAUAUAACAUUAAAAUGACAACACAACAUUACAGGACUACAAUAUAAAUAAAUAGGAGAACAUAAUUGACAAAGAAACAAACGAAUAAUAGACAACAAAAGGCAACAAGUUUAAAAUUUUAAUACGCCAGAAGUGCAAUUUGUCCAAACAAGACUUACUAGUGACGCCCAGAUACAAAAGUUUGAAAGCCGAAACAAGUACAAAGUUGAACAGCAUCGAGGACCAAAAGUUCAAAAAAAUUGUGCCAAAAUCUUCCACGGUUUUCUGUUAGGUACCAGAACAUCCCUAUUAUUUAGAAUAAUUUAUACUUUUGCAAACAGUAAAUUUUAUAAAAUGACUAUACAAAAGAUAUAUGAUAAAACUGAAGUAUUAACUAAUUACAGGAAACAACCGAAAUACUCUACAUAACCCGACGAAAUGCAGCACAUCCGAAUAAGUUUAAACCUCAACGCCAAGUGACGUCAGAUUUGAAAUUGUAAAAAAUGACAAAAAAAUUACGUCACAUAUGAAUUUGUAAAAAAGAUCAUCAAAAAAUAAAAAAUGACGUCACAUUUGAAUGAAUAAGAUAGAAUAAGGAUUGAUUUAAGAUUAUAUUUGAACUAAAUAUUGAUAUUACAUUUAAUAACAAUGCACAUUUAAAUACUUAUUAAUAGCAAACUAAGGUAACAAUUAACUAUAUUAUAUGUCCGGUUUGUUUUGAAUCUAACUUCAAACGUAAACCAUCGUACAGAUUA